UUAUUAGUGUUUCUCUCUUGUCCUUUUCCUUUAGGAAGCAGUGAAAUAUAAUGGUUAAGACACAGGCUCUAGGGAUUCCUUUGUAGCUCAGUGUUAUCACUGCUAUGGCUCUGGUUACAGCUGUAGCAUGGGUUUGAUCCCUGGCCCAGGAACUUGUGAAGGCUGUGAGCGGGACCAAAAAAAGAAAAAAAGACACAGGUUUUGUAAUAGACUGACUUGGGUCCAAAUUCGACUCCAUGACUGGCUGGGGCAUGUGACUUCUCUGAACCUCUGUGUCUUCACCUGAGAGAAUGGGAUAUUAAGAACUAUUUCACCUGGUUGCUGUGAGCGUUAAAUGAGACACCAUAUGAUACUGGGCACACAUCAGGGCUCAGUGAAUGAAGGGUAGCUAAUACAGUUUGCAGAGUCACUGAGUAGAAGUCUAGCUGCACAGAGCUUCUGUGUCUAGAUUUCAACGAUAUUCUUUCAUCAUUUCUUGGAACUCCCAGCACCCCAUGUGGCUUAUACACCACAGGCUCUGAUGUGUUUAACUUGAAAAAGAAGCAGUGUUCCCCUCUGAAGCGUGGUUCCCCAGUGCUGUUUGGCUACACCGGGAGGAGGAGGUUGGUAAGUAGUCAUGGCAGUUCAUCUUCUAGGGCAGGAAGGCUCGGGAUUUCUUGGAGAUUUCCAUUCUUCUAUCUCAUUUUCUGAGUCAGAACAACAAAUAUUUAGAGGACGUUUCCCAUCUUUUCCUCCUGAUUUCUUCUCCUCUAUCCCUUUUCAUUUUCAUCCUCCCUAGAGUGUGUUGGAGAAUCAAGAAUGUGGGUGCAGAAGAGGAGGAGCCAGAGACAUCUCUUCCUUUCCCCCAGCUUGUGCAAAGAUGCUUCUGAACACCCUUGGACUAGGUGGAUCUUAAAUUACAAGGAACAAACAGCCAGAGUCUGGACUCUACAUCCUCAUCCCCGUCACCUGGGACCCAACAUCUUCAUCACCUGGGACCCAGUGGCCAGACCUAGCAGCCUGCUGUUUGCAACUCAGGUUAGCCCCUGCAAAGGUUCCUCCCUAGACGGUGGUGGAUGA
This 1059-nucleotide long non-coding RNA is filed under the name Sus scrofa (pig). RNAcentral's name for it is "lncRNA (ENSSSCG00045022951.1)". Lineage: Eukaryota; Metazoa; Chordata; Mammalia; Artiodactyla; Suidae. The record is from RNAcentral.